CACUCCUAUUUCUGCCCCACAUUCUUUUUACUCUAUGGACUGGUGGGUUCUGUUUAAUGGAGAAGAAAAUGCCAAGAAAUGGUAUGCCUGCACCUUGAUACAUCGCAGGGAUAUUUCAUUUGUUGGAUCGUGUGAACGUACGCCUUGUAUCCAGUUGCUGUUUCCGAGUGCAGUCUGGGGAUGGCGUUUUCUCUACAUUU
Molecule: small nucleolar RNA, 200 nt
Filed under: Eremothecium cymbalariae DBVPG#7215
Lineage: Eukaryota; Fungi; Ascomycota; Saccharomycetes; Saccharomycetales; Saccharomycetaceae
Description: Small nucleolar RNA snR43
Rfam family: Small nucleolar RNA snR43
Source: Rfam by way of RNAcentral